GCCCUGGUGGCGGAAUGGUAGACGCGCAGGUUUCAGGUACCUGUGGCUUAACGGCUGUGAAGGUUCGAGUCCUUUCCUGGGCACCA
This 86-nucleotide transfer RNA is filed under the name Alphaproteobacteria bacterium. RNAcentral describes it as "tRNA-Leu". It matches the Rfam family "tRNA". From Rfam's summary of the family: Transfer RNA (tRNA) molecules are approximately 80 nucleotides in length. Lineage: Bacteria; Pseudomonadati; Pseudomonadota; Alphaproteobacteria. The record is from RNAcentral. RNAcentral also lists the same sequence under 1 other name.